GACGAACGCUGGCGGCGUGCCUAAUACAUGCAAGUUGAGCGCUGAAGGUUGGUACUUGUACCGACUGGAUGAGCAGCGAACGGAUGAGUAACGCGUGGAGGAUCUGCCUUUGAGCGGGGGGACAACAUUUGGAAACGAAUGCUAAUACCGCAUAAAAAACUUUAAACACAAGUUUUAAGUUUUGAAAGAUGCAAUUGCAUCACUCAAAAGAUGAUCCCGCGUUGUAUUAGCUAGUUGGUGAGGUAAAGGCUCACCAAGGCGAUGAUACAUAGCCGACCUGAGAGGGUGAUCGGCCACAUUGGGACUGAGACACGGGCCCAAACUCCUACGGGAGGCAGCAGUAGGGAAUCUUCGGCAAUGGACGAAAAGUCUGACCGAGCAACGCCGCGUGAGUGAAGAAGGUUUUCGGAUCGUAAAACUCUGUUGGUAGAGAAGAGCGUUGGUGAGAGUGGAAGCUCAUCAAGUGACGGUAAACUACCCAG
RNAcentral lists this ribosomal RNA (482 nucleotides) under uncultured bacterium. RNAcentral describes it as "bacterial SSU rRNA". It matches the Rfam family "Bacterial small subunit ribosomal RNA", at positions 28 to 487 of the family's 1533-position model. The record is from RNAcentral.